CACGUAGUUAGCCGGGGCUUCUUACUCAGGUACCGUCCUUUUUCUUCCCUGCUGAUAGAGCUUUACGUACCGAAAUACUUCUUCACUCACGCGGCGUCGCUGCAUCAGGGUUCCCCCCAUUGUGCAAUAUUCCCCACUGCUGCCUCCCGUAGGAGUCUGGGCCGUGUCUCAGUCCCAAUGUGGCCGUCCGCCCUCUCAGGCCGGCUACUGAUCGUCGCCUUGGUAGGCCGUUACCCUCCCAACCAGCUAAUCAGACGCGGGCCCAUCUUAUACCACCUCAGUUUUUCACACUGCGUCAUGCGCCGCUGUGCGCUUAUGCGGUAUUAGCAGCUGUUUCCAGCUGUUAUCCCCCUGUAUAAGGCAGGUUGCCCACGCGUUACUCACCCGUCCGCCACUAGAAUAUGACUUCUUCCAUUCUGCAAGCAGCUCUUCCGAUGUCUUAUCCCCGUUCGACUUGCAUGUGUUAAGCACGCCGCCAGCGUUCAU
This 486-nucleotide ribosomal RNA is filed under the name uncultured Lachnospiraceae bacterium. RNAcentral's name for it is "partial 16S ribosomal RNA". Lineage: Bacteria; Bacillati; Bacillota; Clostridia; Lachnospirales; Lachnospiraceae. The record is from RNAcentral.